GAUGAACGCUGGCGGCGUGCCUAACACAUGCAAGUCGAGCGAACACACGGGGAGCUUGCUCCCCUGCCGUUGGCGGCGGGCGGGUGAGUAACACGUGGAUAACCUACCUCUAAGACUGGGAUAACUACGGGAAGCCGGAUAUAAUACCGGAUCAUAUGUUGAACGGGAUGGAUCAAUAGAGCUAGACGGUUUUGCCGUCUCUUUUAGAUGUUUCCGCGUCGGAUUAGCUAGUUGGUAAGGUAACGGCCUACCAAGGCAACGAUGCGUAGCUGACCUGAGAGGAUGAUCAGCCACACUGGAACUGAGACACGGUCCAGACUCCUACGGGAGGCAGCAGUGGGGAAUCUUGCACAAUGGGCGAAAGCCUGAUGCAGCAAUGCCGCGUGGGUGAUGAAGGUCUUCGGAUUGUAAAGCUCUGUUGUUGGGAAAGAACAGAAGUGUAAGUAAACAUGGACGUCUUGACGGUACCCAAACAAUAAGCAACGGCUAACUACGUG
This 497-nucleotide ribosomal RNA is filed under the name uncultured bacterium. Its description in RNAcentral is "partial 16S ribosomal RNA". It matches the Rfam family "Bacterial small subunit ribosomal RNA", at positions 28 to 507 of the family's 1533-position model. The record is from RNAcentral.